RNAcentral lists this ribosomal RNA (492 nucleotides) under uncultured bacterium. RNAcentral's name for it is "partial 16S ribosomal RNA". It matches the Rfam family "Bacterial small subunit ribosomal RNA", at positions 39 to 507 of the family's 1533-position model. The record is from RNAcentral.
GGGGGGGGGGGGGGGGGGGGGGGGGGGGGGGGGGGCGGGCGGCAGGGCGGGGGGGGCGGGCUCGGGCGGGUGGCGAGGGGCGGACGGGUGAGGAAUACAUCGGAAUCUACUUUUUCGUGGGGGAUAACGUAGGGAAACUUACGCUAAUACCGCAUACGACCUACGGGUGAAAGCAGGGGAUCUUCGGACCUUGCGCGAUUGAAUGAGCCGAUGUCGGAUUAGCUAGUUGGCGGGGUAAAGGCCCACCAAGGCGACGAUCCGUAGCUGGUCUGAGAGGAUGAUCAGCCACACUGGAACUGCGACACGGUCCAGACUCCUACGGGAGGCAGCAGUGGGGAAUAUUGGACAAUGGGCGCAAGCCUGACCCAGCCAUACCGCGUGGGUGAAGAAGGCCUUCGGGUUGUAAAGCCCUUUUGUUGGGAAAGAAAAGCAGCAGGUUAAUACCCCGCUGUUCUGACGGUACCCAAAGAAUAAGCACCGGCUAACUUCGUG